AAUGAACGUUGGUGGCGUGGAUUAGGCAUGCAAGUCGUGCGCGAUAGUGGCUUCGGCCACUGGAGAGCGGCGAACGGGGUAGUAAGGCGUCGGAACGUGCCCAAGGGUUCGGGAUAGCGGCGGGAAACUGCCGGUAAUACCGGAUGACCUCUUCGGAGCAAAGGUGUGAUUCCGCCAUUGGAGCGGCCGACGUGAUACCAGCUAGUUGGUGAGGUAAUGGCUCACCAAGGCAAAGACGUCUAGGGGGUGUGAGAGCAUGGCCCCCACCACUGGGACUGAGACACUGCCCAGACACCUACGGGUGGCUGCAGUCGAGAAUCUUCGGCAAUGGGCGAAAGCCUGACCGAGCGACGCCACGUGCGGGAUGACGGCCCUCGGGUUGUAAACCGCUGUCGAGGGGAUGAAGUCACGAGGAGCAAUCUCCUUGUGUUGACAGAGCCCUGGAGGAAGCGCGGGCUAAGUACGUGCCAGCCGCCGCGGUAA
Molecule: ribosomal RNA, 483 nt
Filed under: uncultured bacterium
Lineage: Bacteria
Description: partial 16S ribosomal RNA
Rfam family: Bacterial small subunit ribosomal RNA
Source: RNAcentral